UCCUGUUUCCUGUUUCCGUUCGGAGGGAAAACAGAGCGGAACCACACGUGUGUCUGUGGCAUAGCGUGGGUUCCACUGGAGUGUUUUUACUUUAAUUAAACAACGAGAAGUCCAGUUAUUACCAGAUACUCGCUCACGAGGAUCGAGAGAACCGGACCGGUGAACCGAAUCACUUCAGUGAUUCUUUAACACUCGUGUGAAAGAGUCGCUGCUUCAUCAUAGAAUCACAGAUCAGCUCAAGUGCAGGGACACAGGUCUUCAUCAUGGUCUUCUUCACGUGUAACGCCUGCGGCGAGUCUCUGAAGAAAGCUCAAGUGGAGAAACACGUGCUGAAGUGCCGAGCCUGCCAGGUUUUGUCCUGCAUCGACUGCAGCAAAGACUUCUGGGGAGAUGAUUACAAGAACCACAACAAGUGCAUCAGUGAAGACCAGAAGUAUGGUGGUAAAGACGUCCAGGUGAAGGCAAACAAAGGUGAUGUGAAGCAGCAGCAGUGGAUUCAGAGGAUCCAGCAGGCCAUGGAGCAGCCCGGUCUCAAGCCCAACGUCUGGAAGAUCCUGCAGAUGGUCAGCACUCAUAAUAAUGUGCCACGCAAGAAAGCCAAGUUUGAGAACUGGAUGAGGAACUGUCUAAAGAUCUACGACCCAUUAUUACUGGACAAGGUCUGGGAGAUUUGCUCAACAGCUGCCAACAAUAACAGUAACCAAAUCAACCAUCAGGCGGCUAGUGAAUGUGAAAGCAGAAGUGACCCCAACGACUGUGCUGAGACGAACAAAAACAGUGAUGAAAAGAAAAAGAGAAAGACUGAUGAUACGUUAGAUGAGCAGAAUGGAGAAAACACAGAUGAGAGCAAGUGCAGGGGAGAUGAUUACAAGAACCACAACAAGUGCAUCAGUGAAGACCAGAAGUAUGGUGGUAAAGACGUCCAGGUGAAGGCAAACAAAGGUGAUGAGAAGCAGCAGCAGUGGAAUCAGAGGAUCCAGCAGGCCUUGGAGCAACCUGAUGUAGAGACCAGCGUGCGAAAGAUCGUGCAGAAGGUCAGCACUCAUGAUAAUGUGCCACGCAAGAAAGCCAAGUUUGAGAAAUGGAUAAAGAACGGUCUAAAGAUCUACGACCCAUUAUUACUGGACAAGGUCUGGGAGAUUUGCUCAACAGCUGCCAACAAUAACGACAACCAUCAGACGACGAACAACUGCACUGAGACGAAUGAAAACAGUGAGCGGAAAAAUAAGAAGAGCAAGAGAAACGCUUCAGAGGAACAGAACGGAGAGAAAACAGAGGAGAAACAGAGGAGAAAAAAGAGGAAACGAGGAGAAGAGAAAGAACAGAUCACAGAGGAAAAGAGCAGCAAGAAACAGAAGAAAAGAAAACGGGAGGCUCUUGAAGAGACUGUGAAUCUGGAGAGGGAGGAGCCAGAGAACCACGAGUCUGAAUCAAACUCUGCAGGGAAGUUUCACUGGAAAGGAACGAUAAAGGCGGUUCUGAGAGACGCUUCCGAGGACGGACUGGCGGUCAAGAAGCUCCGGAAGAAGGUUUUAGCGGCGUACCACUCGUUCUCUGGAGACUCGAACUUCAGAUCAGAAGAAGAGCUUCUGUCUCUGUUCAACAGAAAGAUCAACAAGAACCCAAAGUUUAAGAUCCUUAAAGACAAAGUCAGACUGGUCAAAUGAUGGAGGCUGCUCUUCAUCAUCAUCAUCAUCAUCAUCAUCACCUCUAGCUGUAAUAAAUGCUGCUCAGUGAUUGGAGUCUGGAUCAUUGUUUCAUUAAUUUCUUUUUUUAAUUCUACAGUACAAAACACCAUUAUACACCAUUAUAAAACCAAACAAAGCAAGUUCUACAGGUGUCAUGGUUUAACUACA
Molecule: RNA transcript, 1856 nt
Organism: Puntigrus tetrazona (Sumatra barb)
Lineage: Eukaryota; Metazoa; Chordata; Actinopteri; Cypriniformes; Cyprinidae
Gene: lyar
Gene name: Ly1 antibody reactive homolog (mouse)
Exons: 14
Source: RefSeq, a predicted model, not a curated record